Molecule: ribosomal RNA, 465 nt
Filed under: Vreelandella stevensii
Lineage: Bacteria; Pseudomonadati; Pseudomonadota; Gammaproteobacteria; Oceanospirillales; Halomonadaceae
Description: partial 16S ribosomal RNA
Rfam family: Bacterial small subunit ribosomal RNA
Source: RNAcentral
CCUACGGGUGGCAGCAGUGGGGAAUAUUGGACAAUGGGGGCAACCCUGAUCCAGCCAUGCCGCGUGUGUGAAGAAGGCCCUCGGGUUGUAAAGCACUUUCAGUGAGGAAGAACGCCUGGUGGUUAAUACCCAUCAGGAAAGACAUCACUCACAGAAGAAGCACCGGCUAACUCCGUGCCAGCAGCCGCGGUAAUACGGAGGGUGCGAGCGUUAAUCGGAAUUACUGGGCGUAAAGCGCGCGUAGGUGGCUUGAUAAGCCGGUUGUGAAAGCCCCGGGCUCAACCUGGGAACGGCAUCCGGAACUGUCAAGCUAGAGUGCACGAGAGGAAGGUAGAAUUCCCGGUGUAGCGGUGAAAUGCGUAGAGAUCGGGAGGAAUACCAGUGGCGAAGGCGGCCUUCUGGACUGACACUGACACUGAGGUGCGAAAGCGUGGGUAGCAAACAGGAUUAGAUACCCGAGUAGUC